This 249-nucleotide unclassified non-coding RNA is filed under the name Hevea brasiliensis (rubber tree). The record is from RNAcentral. Lineage: Eukaryota; Viridiplantae; Streptophyta; Magnoliopsida; Malpighiales; Euphorbiaceae.
AUUGUGAUCACUUCCCUAGGAGGCCAACUAGAGAGUCAUAAUCAGAUCCAUAGUAAAAUUUUGUUUGUUUAAUUUUUACAAUGAUUUUGAAAGUAGACAUUUCUGAUUUUGAUUGAGUAAAAUUAUUCUUGGAUUGUCACUUAAAUUUCAACUCUUAGUGAGUACGUGUCUGUUUUAGCUAUAGUUUCAUUCGAUUGACUUUCUGGUCACAAGAUGAUUAAGAUUUUUCUUCGUCAUUAAAGUUCAUAA